UGGGCCCUCCUCUGAAUUUCUAACCGUAGUCACGUGGACCCCAUCUCCCACUGCAUAAAACGCUACAAAGCUCAUUCAUUACCGAACCUCUGAGGACUCUCAGAGAGAGAUAAUAUUAACCCCAAAAACUCUUAUAAAGGAGAUAAAAAAAAUGAAAAUUUCUAGGGUUUGACUGAGGGAAAAAAGAGAAAAAGAAAAAUUGCACCUCCUCCAAUCGCGUGAAGCCCACAACAGCGAUAGAGUCGUAGUGAGUCACUACUGGAAUCGCCGAUCUCUCCCUGUCCCUCCUCAGAUUCAUCUCCAUUUCCUCCCCGCAAUUUUCGUCUUUUUUAUAGUGAGGGAAAAUUCGACUAAAAAAAAUAAAAAAAUUAGAGAGAGUGGAUAGGCACAGAGAAGCUACAGCUGUGUGUAAUGUUUUGAACAUUGGGAUCGGAGGGUAAAAUUGGGGUUUCGUCAAAGUUUUGGAGGGAUUUGGCUUUUUCCUCUAUUUCUACUCCGUUUCUCCUUUUUUCUGAUUUUUCAUUUUCUGGGAAAAAUUUAAAAAGUUUGGUUUCAUUUGGGUGUUAAAUUUGCAUGCAAUCUGCUGGGGGUGGUGGUGGCGGGCCCAGCCGGGUGGGGCCGGCUGGGCGGGCGGCGUCCACGUCAUCAGCAGCAUCGCCAUCUUCGUCUUCCUCUGCAGUAUCGACGCCACAAUUAGGGUUCGACUCAGUACAGCAGCAGCAAAUAGGGUCUAGACAGGCAUUGCAACACCAAUUACUUAGAAAACCUGAAGGCAAUGAAACCCUUCUAGCUUAUCAAGCUGGUGCUUUUCAAGGAGUUAUGGGAGGAGGCAAUUUUGCUUCAUCUCCAGGUUCAAUGCAAAUGCCUCAACAAUCCAGAAAAUUCUUUGAUUUGGCACAGCAGCAUGCUUCCUCCCAAGACGGCCAGAAUAGGAAUCAAGCUGUUGAGCAGCAAGUUCUGAAUCCAGUUCAUCAGGCAUAUCUCCAGUUUGCUUUGCAGCAACAAAAGUCGGUUUUGGCGAUGCAGUCACAACAAGUGGCUAAGAUGGGAAUGUUGGGCCCUGCAACUAGCAAGGAUCAGGAUGUGCGGAUGGGAAAUUUAAAAAUGCAAGAACUCAUGUCCAUGCAGGCAGCUAACCAAGCUCAGGCAUCAUCAUCCAAAAUCUCAUCUGAGAAUUUUUCUCGUGGUGAAAAGCUAAUGGAGCAAGCACAAGAGCAGGUCUCUGAACAGAGGAAUGAGCAAAAGCCUCCAACCCAACCCCCUAUCAUUGGACAACUAAUGGCUUCUAAUGUUAUAAGACCUAUGCAGGCACCACAGCCUCAGCAGAGCAUCCAAAAUAUAGCAAACAACCAGCUUGCAAUGGCUGCUCAGUUGCAAGCAAUGCAGGCAUGGGCACAUGAGCGCAACAUUGAUCUGUCACUACCUGCAAAUGCAAACCUGAUGGCACAGCUCAUUCCACUCAUGCAGUCAAGGAUGGCUGCACAGCAAAAGGCCAAUGAAAGCAGUGCAGGUCCACAGGCAUCACCUGUUCCUGUAUCAAUGUCAAAGCAUCAGGUUGGUUCUCCACCUGUUGCAAGUGAGAGUUCUCCACAUGCUAAUUCCUCUAGUGAUGCAUCUGGGCAGUCUGGCCCUCCUAAAGUGAGGCAGAGUGUUUCGACUGCCCCAUCUGGCCCAAGAUCCAAUGCAGGGAUAAUCAACAACACUAACAACCUUGCAGGGCAACAGCUUGCCUUUCACAGCAGAGAGAACCAAGUGCCUCCUAGAACGGGGGGCGGCCUUGGAAAUGGAAUGCCUGUCAUGCUUCCACCGCAGUCAUCUACAAACGUGAGCCAAGGUGCAGAUCAGACUUUUCCUGCAAAAAAUGCAUUAAAUAGCCCAGAAAACUUACAAAUACAGCAUCUCAAGCAAUUAAGUCGAUCUUCUCUACAACCUGCUGGCCCUUCUAAUGAUGGAGGAUCAAUCAACCACUUCCCAUCGCAGGGUGGGCCUGCUGUCCUGAUGGCACAACCGCGUGUUGGGUUCACUAAACAACAAUUACAUGUUCUUAAAGCACAAAUACUAGCAUUUAGGCGACUGAAGAAAGGAGAAGGUACACUUCCUCAAGAGCUUCUUCGAGCUAUUGCUCCUCCUUCUCUUGAGUUGCAGCAGCAAUUACUUCCUGCAGGAGGAGUUAAUCAGGAUAGAUCUGGUGGAAAAUUUGCUGAGGACCAAGCAAGGCAUUUGGAAUCCAAUGAAAAGAAAUCUCAGGCAAAACCAUCUGUUAGUGGACAGAAUGUUGCAAAAGAGGAAGCUUUUGCGGGAGAUGAAAAAGCAACUGUCUCAGCAAGUCACAUGCAGGCCACAAUAGCUGUGAUAAAGGAACCCACAACUUCAGUGGCUGCUGGAAAAGAAGAGCAGCAAACUGCUACAUUUCCUGUUAAGUCCGACCAGGAGGUGGAACGAAGUGUUCAGAAAACACCUGUUAGAAGAGAUGUUGCAGCUGACAUGGGAAAAGCAGUUGCAUCACAGUUUCCUGUGUCUGAUGCAGCACAAGUGAAGAAACCUGCACAAACAAGCACUCCACCCCAGUCAAAAGAUACUGGCUCUGCCAGAAAGUAUCAUGGACCAUUAUUUGAUUUUCCCUUCUUUACCAGGAAGCAUGAUUCCAUUGGGUCAUCAGGGAUGAUCAACACUAACAAUAAUCUAGCAUUGGCAUAUGAUGUCAAAGAUCUUCUUUUUGAGGAAGGCAUGGAAGUGCUUAACAAGAAGAGGUCAGAAAAUCUGAAGAAAAUCAAUGGUUUACUGGCAGUAAAUCUGGAGAGGAAAAGGAUUAGACCGGAUCUUGUGUUACGGUUACAAAUUGAAGAAAAAAAGCUUAGGCUUCUCGAUUUACAGGCACGCUUAAGAGAUGAAGUAGAUCAACAACAGCAGGAGAUAAUGGCAAUGCCUGACAGGCCAUAUCGGAAGUUUGUUCGGUUAUGCGAGCGUCAACGGAUGGAGCAAGCAAGACAAGUACAGGCCUCUCAAAAAGCCAUGAGAGAGAAACAAUUGAAGUCCAUCUUCCAGUGGCGUAAGAAACUUCUUGAGGCCCACUGGGCCAUCCGUGACGCGCGAAUUGCCCGCAACAGAGGAGUUGCCAAAUACCAUGAGAGAACAUUGAGAGAAUUUUCUAAGAGAAAGGAUGAUGAUCGGAAUAAAAGGAUGGAGGCAUUAAAGAACAAUGAUGUUGAAAGGUAUCGGGAAAUGUUGCUGGAGCAGCAGACUAGCAUCCAAGGUGAUGCUGCUGAGAGAUAUGCUGUUCUCUCAUCGUUCUUGACUCAGACUGAAGAAUAUCUUCAUAAAUUGGGUAGUAAAAUAACAGCUGCCAAGAAUCAGCAGGAAGUAGAGGAGGCUGCAAAUGCUGCAGCUGCAGCUGCAAGACUGCAGGGUCUGUCAGACGAAGAAGUAAGGACAGCAGCUGCAUGUGCUGGAGGGGAAGUAAUGAUAAGAAACCAAUUUAUGGAAAUGAAUGCACCCAAGGAUAGUUCAUCUGUUAGCAAAUAUUACCAUCUUGCUCAUGCGGUCAAUGAGAGGGUCAUAAGGCAGCCUUCCAUGCUACGGGCUGGAACCUUGCGAGAUUAUCAGCUUGUAGGGUUGCAAUGGAUGCUCUCUCUGUAUAACAAUAAAUUAAAUGGAAUCCUGGCGGAUGAGAUGGGUCUUGGAAAGACUGUUCAGGUGAUGUCACUGAUUGCUUAUCUGAUGGAAUUUAAAGGAAACUAUGGUCCGCAUCUUAUAAUUGUCCCUAACGCUGUGAUGGUAAAUUGGAAGAGUGAGUUCCAUAACUGGCUUCCAUCUGUAUCAUGCAUUUUUUAUGUUGGUGGAAAAGAUCAACGGUCAAAAUUAUUUUCUCAAGAGGUUUCUGCAAUGAAAUUUAAUGUUCUUGUGACAACUUACGAAUUUAUCAUGUAUGAUCGGUCAAAACUUUCUAAGGUGGAUUGGAAGUAUAUCAUAAUUGAUGAAGCACAGAGAAUGAAGGACAGGGAAUCGGUUUUAGCCCGUGAUCUUGACAGAUAUCGCUGCCAGAGGCGCUUACUUCUCACAGGGACACCAUUACAGAAUGAUUUGAAGGAGCUUUGGUCACUUUUAAAUCUACUUUUACCCGAAGUUUUUGAUAAUCGGAAAGCAUUUCAUGAUUGGUUCUCAAAACCCUUUCAAAAGGAAGGUCCUGCACAUGAUGCAGAGGAUGACUGGCUUGAAACUGAAAAGAAGGUCAUCAUCAUUCAUCGCCUCCAUCAAAUUUUGGAGCCUUUUAUGCUUAGACGUCGUGUUGAAGAUGUGGAAGGUUCGCUUCCACCCAAGGUUUCAAUUGUUUUGAGAUGUAGAAUGUCUGCUAUUCAGAGUGCCAUUUACGAUUGGAUCAAAUCUACUGGUACUCUUCGAGUUGAUCCUGAAGAUGAGAAGCGCAGGGUCCAAAAAAAUCCAAUAUACCAGCCUAAGGUGUACAAAACUUUAAAUAACAGAUGUAUGGAACUUCGGAAGGCUUGCAAUCAUCCUUUGCUCAAUUACCCUUAUUUUAGCGACUUUUCCAAGGAUUUCCUUGUUAGAUCCUGUGGGAAGUUGUGGGUUCUGGAUAGGAUCCUCACAAAACUUCAAAGGACAGGGCAUCGGGUACUACUUUUUAGUACAAUGACAAAGCUCCUUGAUAUAGUGGAAGAGUACUUGCAAUGGCGAAGGCUGGUAUACAGGAGGAUUGAUGGAACAACUAGCCUGGAAGAUCGAGAAUCAGCUAUUGUGGACUUUAACAGCUAUAAUUCUGACUGCUUUAUCUUCUUGCUUAGCAUUCGUGCAGCUGGAAGGGGUCUUAAUCUUCAAUCUGCUGACACAGUUAUCAUAUAUGAUCCUGAUCCAAACCCUAAAAAUGAGGAACAGGCAGUGGCUAGAGCCCACCGAAUUGGACAGACAAGAGAGGUCAAAGUCAUUUAUAUGGAAGCUGUUGUUGACAAAAUUUCUAGCCAUCAGAAAGAGGAUGAAUUAAGAAGUGGAGGUUCACUUGAUCUAGAAGAUGACCUUGCUGGUAAAGAUCGAUACAUGGGGUCUAUUGAGAGCCUCAUAAGGAAUAAUAUUCAACAAUAUAAGAUUGACAUGGCUGAUGAGGUUAUCAAUGCUGGACGCUUUGACCAAAUAACAACACAUGAAGAGAGACGCAUGACUUUGGAGACAUUACUACAUGAUGAAGAGCGUUAUCAAGAAACAGUCCAUGACGUUCCAUCACUGCUAGAGGUAAAUCGCAUGAUAGCAAGGAGUGAAGAUGAAGUUGAAUUAUUUGAUCAAAUGGAUGAAGAGCUGGAUUGGACUGAAGAGAUGACAAGCUAUGACCAGGUACCUAAAUGGCUUCGGGCCAGUACAAGAGAUGUGAAUGCUGCAAUUGCUAAUUUAUCAAAGAAACCUUCAAAAAAUAUCUUGUUUGCUAGUGGUAUGGGUAUGGAAACCAAUGAAGUUGAAACUGAAAGAAAAAGGGGGCGACCCAAGGGGAAAAAGUCUCCUAACUACAAAGAAAUUGAUGAUGACAAUGGGGAAUACUCUGAGGCUAGUUCUGAUGAGAGGAAUGGAUAUUCUGCACGUGAAGAAGAGGGAGAAAUCCGAGAAUUUGAAGAUGAUGAAUCUAGUGGUGCUAUUGAGGCACCUCCCAUCAUUAAGGACCAAUCAGAAGAUGAUGGUCCAGCAUGCGAGGGUGGAUAUGAGUAUCCCCGGGCUUCAGAAAGCACUAGAAAUAAUCAGAUGGUAGAAGAAGCUGGUUCCGCUGGAUCUUCCUCUGAUAAUCGAAGAAUGACAAGAAUGGUGUCUCCUGUUUCUUCACAGAAAUUUGGGUCCCUUUCUGCAUUAGAUGCUAGACCAGAUUCUGUUACUAAAAAGCUGGCAGAUGAAUUGGAGGAAGGGGAAAUUGCAGUGUCUGGAGAUUCUCACAUGGAUCACCAGCAAUCUGGAAGUUGGAUACAUGAUCGUGAUGAAGGUGAAGAUGAACAGGUUCUGCAACCUAAGAUAAAACGGAAACGUAGUAUUCGGGUUCGUCCACGCCAUACCUUAGAAAAACCAGAGAAGUCUGGCAUUGAGGCGCAUCGUGGAGAUUCAGGUUUGAUGCCAUUCCAAGUGGACCAUAAACAUCAAUCACAGUUGAGGACUGAUGCUGAAAUGAAAACAUUUGGACAGCCCAGUGCUUCCAGGCAUGAUCAGACUGAUUCCUCAAAAGGCAGGAGAAACUUACCAUCAAGGAGAAUAGCUAAUACAACGAAGUUGCAUGCUUCACCAAAGUCUAGCAGAUUGAAUAUACAGUCUGCUCCAGCAGAAGAUGCUGCUGAACUCUCCAGAGAGAAUUGGGAUGGCAAAGUUACAAAUCGAAGUGGAAACUCUUUGUUGGGCUCUAGGAUGUCAGAUGUCAUCCAGAGAAGGUGUAAAAAUGUAAUUAGCAAGUUUCAAAGGAGAAUAGACAAGGAAGGCCAACAAAUUGUGCCUCUUCUAACAGCCUUGUGGAAGAGGAUUGAGAAUUCUAGUUGCAUGAGUGGUGCUGGAAAUAAUCUUUUGGAUUUGCGGAAGAUUGAAUUGCGUGUUGACAGAUUAGAAUACAAUGGAGUCAUGGAGCUUGUAUUCGAUGUGCAAUUUAUGUUGAAGGGCGCAAUGCAAUUCUAUGGGUUCUCGCAUGAGGUGAGAUCUGAAGCAAGGAAAGUACAUGAUCUCUUUUUUGACAUCUUGAAGAUUGCAUUCCCUGACACUGAUUUCCGAGAAGCCAGAAAUGCACUCUCUUUUUCUAGCACCAGUUCUACUCCAUCACCAAGACCAGCAGCUAUAGGACAAAGCAAGAGACACAGGAUAAUAAAUGAGGUAGAACCAGACAAUAGUUCUAGCCAUAGGCCGAUUCAACAAGGAUCAAUACCUACUGGUGAUGACACAAGGAUCAAAGUCCACUUGCCAAAGGAAACAAGGCAUGGGAGUGGGACUGGCAGUAGUCGGGAACAAUGCCAGCAGGGUGAUUCUCCACAUCCAGGGGAGUUGGUUAUCUGCAAGAAGAAGAGGAAAGACAGGGAUAAGUCGGUGGUUAAGUCAAGGACUGGAUCUAGUGGCCCAGUUUCUCCCCCUAGCAUGGGUCGUAAUAUAACGAAUCCAGUUCCAGGUUCAGUCUCUAAGGAUAUGAGAGUGGCUCAGCAGAAUUCCCAUCAACAAGGGUGGGCCAACCAACCUCAACCAUCAAAUAAUGGCGGUGGCGGUGGCGGCAGUGUUGGUUGGGCAAAUCCUGUAAAGAGAUUGAGGACAGAUGCUGGUAAAAGAAGGCCAAGCCAUUUAUGACUUUCUAAUGGAGAUAGUGUAUAAUGGGGAAAAAAAAAAGAUAAUAAUAAGUUGUUGCCGUUUAGCUGCAGAGUGUAUUAGUGGCGCUUUCUGGCCUGUAACAAGAGCAGUUAGCCCAUACUGUUAAUAUAGCGUAGGUCAUUGAUCCUCCAUUGUAUACUGCUUCCAUGAUUUGAGAAAUCCAGUAGUUUUCACCUCUGCUUGUUGCAGUUAUACUAUGCCUCUGUUACACUGUUUAUAGUUGAACUUUUCAGAGCACUAAAACUAUGGUUUAACGCACCUAUUGACAUCCCCUUCAAAGGAUUUACGAGUUACGUUCCCUUGAGAUGAUGAAUAAAUAAAAUGUAUAACGAUGUGCG
Molecule: unclassified non-coding RNA, 7655 nt
Filed under: Hevea brasiliensis (rubber tree)
Lineage: Eukaryota; Viridiplantae; Streptophyta; Magnoliopsida; Malpighiales; Euphorbiaceae
Source: RNAcentral